GACGAACGCUGGCGGCGUGCUUAACACAUGCAAGUCGAACGGAAAGGCCCUGCUUUUGUGGGGUGCUCGAGUGGCGAACGGGUGAGUAACAAGUGAGUAACCUGCCCUUGACUUUGGGAUAACUUCAGGAAACUGGGGCUAAUACCGGAUAGGAGCUCCUGCUGCAUGGUGGGGGUUGGAAAGUUUCGGCGGUUGGGGAUGGACUCGGGGCUUAUCAGCUUGUUGGUGGGGUAGUGGCUUACCAAGGCUUUGACGGGUAGCCGGCCUGAGGGGGUGACCGGCCACAUUGGGAUGAGGUAACGCCCAGGACCCCAACGGGGGGCAGAGGGGGGGAAUAUGGCACAAGGGGCGGAAGCCGAAGGCAGCAACGCGGCGGGCGGGAUGACGGCUUUCGGUUUGUAAACCGCUUUCGCCUGUGACGAAGCGGUAGUGACGGUAAUGGGUAAAGAAGCACCGGCUAACUACGUG
Molecule: ribosomal RNA, 468 nt
Filed under: uncultured bacterium
Lineage: Bacteria
Description: partial 16S ribosomal RNA
Rfam family: Bacterial small subunit ribosomal RNA
Source: RNAcentral